GAUGAGUUGUGGGUAGGGGUGAAAGGCUAAUCAAACUCCGUGAUAGCUGGUUCUCCCCGAAAUGCAUUUAGGUGCAGCGUUGCAUGUUGAGCGUGGUGGAGGUAGAGCGACUGGUUGGUUGAGCGGGA
RNAcentral lists this ribosomal RNA (128 nucleotides) under Odontella aurita. Its description in RNAcentral is "partial Bacterial large subunit ribosomal RNA". It matches the Rfam family "Bacterial large subunit ribosomal RNA", at positions 803 to 927 of the family's 2925-position model. The record is from RNAcentral. Lineage: Eukaryota; Bacillariophyta; Thalassiosirophyceae; Eupodiscales; Odontellaceae.